UACGAAGGGGGCUAGCGUUGCUCGGAAUCACUGGGCGUAAAGCGCACGUAGGCGGCUUUCUAAGUCAGGGGUGAAAUCCUGGAGCUCAACUCCAGAACUGCCUUCGAUACUGGCGAUCUCGAGUCCGGAAGAGGUGAGUGGAACUCCUAGUGUAGAGGUGGAAUUCGUAGAUAUUAGGAAGAACACCAGUGGCGAAGGCGGCUCACUGGUCCGGUACUGACGCUGAGGUGCGAAAGCGUGGGGAGCAAACAGG
This 253-nucleotide ribosomal RNA is filed under the name uncultured bacterium. Its description in RNAcentral is "partial 16S ribosomal RNA". It matches the Rfam family "Bacterial small subunit ribosomal RNA", at positions 524 to 776 of the family's 1533-position model. The record is from RNAcentral.